Long non-coding RNA from Talpa occidentalis (Iberian mole), 513 nucleotides. RefSeq lists it as uncharacterized. The record is from RefSeq and is a predicted model, not a curated record. The transcript is spliced from 4 exons. NCBI's taxonomy places the organism in Eukaryota, Metazoa, Chordata, Mammalia, Eulipotyphla, Talpidae.
UCUUGAUGUGAAACUCAAUGUUAAUAAGAGAAGGGGGAGGAAAAGUUGCCAGACAGCAUGUGUGCUUUGGGUCUGCUUUAAUCUACACCAGAAAUGAUUUUUUGACAACAGUAAGAUCAAGGAGAUGAAGAAGGGUACAACAAUGACUAGGCAAUAUUUUCAUUGGCAAGGUUUAAGAAGACUGGAAGGAAAGAACUUCAUACAGAUCAACAGCCUUUGUUGUCACUAGGAAGGCCUAAUGCACAUGUGUGAGCUCAGAAGGGACGUGUAUCAACUGUGAGGUGAUGAUCCCUCCUACUCUAUAGACAAGACAACUGGCCUUGAUCAUCUGAGGAUCAUGAAGCUCGAAGUGCACAGGAAGAGCUUCACUGGACCUGAUGUGGCUUGUGUCCAACCUUUUAAAACCAACUCAUCUGGUGUUCUCUGUAUCUUACAAAAUAAUUGCAAUGCAGUAUUUUCUAGUGUUGGACGAUACUUUCAAACUCUAAUGUGCAAAAAAACCUGGGGAUCUUG